RNAcentral lists this ribosomal RNA (484 nucleotides) under uncultured bacterium. Its description in RNAcentral is "bacterial SSU rRNA". It matches the Rfam family "Bacterial small subunit ribosomal RNA", at positions 29 to 507 of the family's 1533-position model. The record is from RNAcentral.
AUGAACGCUAGCGGCAGGCUUAACACAUGCAAGUCGAGGGGCAGCGGGAUGUAGCAAUACAUUGCCGGCGACCGGCGCAAGGGUGCGUAACGCGUGAGCAACAUGCCCGUCACAGGAGGAUAAACCAUGGAAACGUGGCCUAAUACUCCAUAGUAUGUUUUGGAGGCAUCUCCAGGACAUUAAAGCUUCAUAGGCGUUGGAUGGGCAUGCGUGCUAUUAGAUAGUUGGCGGGGUAACGGCCCACCAAGUCUACGAUAGCUAGGGGAUCUGAGAGGACGGUCCCCCACACUGGAACUGAGACACGGUCCAGACUCCUACGGGAGGCAGCAGUGAGGAAUAUUGGUCAAUGGUCUGACGACUGAACCAGCCAUGCCGCGUGAAGGUCACGGCCCUAUGGGUCUUAAACUUCUUUUGUAAGGGAGCAAUAAGUCUCACGUGUGGGAUGAUGAGAGUACCUUACGAAUAAGCAUCGGCUAACUCCGUG